AAAACAUAUAAAUAUAUAUAUAUAUUUUUUCAAAGAUUACUAGCUUUUCAUUGAUUGAGGUUGUGAUUGCUUCAAAUGUUUGCAAUCUCACUCGCCAUACUCACUUGGGUUUAUCAUGCAUACAUUACCGAUCUACCUUUGAUGGUGCUAUCUUCUCGCUCACUCACGGACAAUUAGAGCUGAAUUAGCUUAGAAUAACAAUGUUGCCGAAUAAAUCGAUUACAGUUACCGUAUGCACAUUACAUCAAGUGCGGCAACAAAGGAGACGGAAAGUUUAAACUUAGUGAAUUGAUGUCGAUGAUGUCAGUCAAUAUAGUUACACAUUUCAGCGUAUUAACAAGAAUUUAUCAAUCCGCUUGCAUUUUCAACAGCUUGCAAUAUCGCUAGCCUAACUGACUAUGAAUCACUUUAACAAAGGCGUAUUGAAAGGUUAUUUCACAAAGAAAAGAAAAGAGAAGUAAAGUUGGGGUUUAAUUUACUAAGGCGAUACGCUUUAUACUA
This 501-nucleotide long non-coding RNA is filed under the name Schizosaccharomyces pombe (fission yeast). RNAcentral describes it as "centromeric lncRNA". The record is from RNAcentral. Lineage: Eukaryota; Fungi; Ascomycota; Schizosaccharomycetes; Schizosaccharomycetales; Schizosaccharomycetaceae.